CCCUUAGACGUUCUGGGCCGCACGCGCGCUACACUGACCAGUGCAACAAGCAUCCGUCCUUGGCCGACAGGCCCGGGCAAUCUUUGAACGCUGGUCGUGAUGGGGAUAGACUUUUGCAAUUUUUGGUCUUCAACGAGGAAUUCCUAGUAAACGCAAGUCAUCAACUUGCAUUGAUUACGUCCCUGCCCUUUGUACACACCGCCCGUCGCACCUACCGAUUGAAUGGUCCGGUGAAGCCUCCGGAUUGGCGCGCACCUCGGUGCCGCCGAGAAGUUGGCUAAACCUUACCAUUUAGAGGAUGGUGAAGUCGUAACA
Molecule: ribosomal RNA, 315 nt
Filed under: uncultured eukaryote
Lineage: Eukaryota
Description: partial 18S ribosomal RNA
Rfam family: Eukaryotic small subunit ribosomal RNA
Source: RNAcentral